Molecule: long non-coding RNA, 185 nt
Organism: Frieseomelitta varia
Lineage: Eukaryota; Metazoa; Arthropoda; Insecta; Hymenoptera; Apidae
Exons: 3
Source: RefSeq, a predicted model, not a curated record
GGAGCCGUUGGUGGCGAAGGCGGAGACGAAGAUGACAAGGAGAAAGAAGAGGAGGCCGAGAGAGAAAGGCAAGAAGCCAUCAGGGAGGCUGAGGAACGAAGAAAGGAGAAGCAUCGCAAAAUGGAAGAGGAACGGGAGAAGAUACGGCAGGAAAUCAGGGACAAGUAGAACAUAAAGAAAGCGGC